Molecule: unclassified non-coding RNA, 247 nt
Filed under: Hevea brasiliensis (rubber tree)
Lineage: Eukaryota; Viridiplantae; Streptophyta; Magnoliopsida; Malpighiales; Euphorbiaceae
Source: RNAcentral
GCUUCAGGGCAGCCUUAGAAAAGAAAAUGGCUGAUGUUCUUGAAUUUGGCUCCACUCCUGCGACACCAAAACAAGGCUCUGUCGCAGCAUCAUCGCCUCCUAUAUCAGCUCCUCCUUCACAGUUUCACUCUCCUUCCUUGUCUAGAUCACCACUGCUCUCCACCAGUGAUCAUGUUCAGCCUGCAAGCGCAAACAGAACGCCAAGGACCUCAACUCCUGCGACACCAAAACAAGCCUCCACUCCUGC